This 210-nucleotide ribosomal RNA is filed under the name Triticum aestivum (bread wheat). Its description in RNAcentral is "partial small subunit ribosomal RNA". It matches the Rfam family "cspA thermoregulator", at positions 161 to 374 of the family's 428-position model. The record is from RNAcentral. Lineage: Eukaryota; Viridiplantae; Streptophyta; Magnoliopsida; Poales; Poaceae.
AUGCCAGCGCUUACUGGUCAGGUGAAGUGGUUCAACGAGAGCAAGGGGUUCGGCUUUAUCACCCCCGACGACGGCAGCAAGGACGUCUUCGUGCACUUCUCGGCAAUCGUUGACGCCGGCUUCAAGACCCUCGCCGAGGGCCAGCGUGUCGAAUUCAGAAUCGAAAGCGGCGCAAAAGGCCCGUCCGCCGCCAAUGUCAAGGCCAUAUAG